CAUCUACUUAGAAAUAUACUCCAAGAAGUCCCGUGCCAGAUUCUUCCACAUUCUCAAACGGAAGAGUAUACGGAGCCAACACUCCCAGAGCCAGACGUCAACAUUUUUUUACCGUCAUUAAAAAUUUUGAAAAAUCUCGUUGAUCGAAUGAAAGUUUUGAGUAACAAUAUUAUUAUAAAAGCGAAUUAUAAUGGAGAGCUACAAUUAAUAAUUGACUCUGAUAACGUUUCAGUAAAGUCCGUCGUUAAAGAUUUGGAAAACCCAAAGUUUGUUGAAGGCUUCGUUCCCACUAAAACAAGAAAUGAAACUGCUUUUAGUGAAAUUAGAAUAG
Zophobas morio is the source of this 331-nucleotide long non-coding RNA. RefSeq lists it as uncharacterized. The transcript has 5 exons. The record is from RefSeq and is a predicted model, not a curated record. Lineage: Eukaryota; Metazoa; Arthropoda; Insecta; Coleoptera; Tenebrionidae.